RNAcentral lists this transfer RNA (73 nucleotides) under Camelus bactrianus (Bactrian camel). It matches the Rfam family "tRNA". Rfam says of the family: Transfer RNA (tRNA) molecules are approximately 80 nucleotides in length. Lineage: Eukaryota; Metazoa; Chordata; Mammalia; Artiodactyla; Camelidae. RNAcentral also lists the same sequence under 2 other names. The record is from Rfam by way of RNAcentral.
GAGGGUGUAGCUCAAGAGGUACAGCGCGUGCUUAGCAAGCACGAGGUCCUGGGUUCAAUCCCCGGUACCGCCU